Molecule: long non-coding RNA, 628 nt
Filed under: Elaeis guineensis (African oil palm)
Lineage: Eukaryota; Viridiplantae; Streptophyta; Magnoliopsida; Arecales; Arecaceae
Description: long non-coding RNA (EGUI_LNC000525)
Source: RNAcentral
ACUUAGUUCCUUUUUUUCCAAGACAGUUGAUUGCAAUCAUAUUAUCUGCUUAAAAGUUUUCAGUGGGAAAAUUGAGCAAUUUUCAAUGUGGAUUGAAAAGAAAUUCUGAUUGGAAGAUUCUUCUUAUUCUUUUCCCUGUAGUACAAUGGAUGAUAUGUGUAAAAACAAAGAAAAAGAAAAGGAUGGAGAUUAAAGCAUCGUAUGGGGAUAAAGAAGGAGGUGAGCAUCUUGUUGUUGAAGAUGGCUCCCUUGAUAAGAUGCCCUGUGGAAGAUGGAGUAGACCUUGGAAUUUGGUUAGGUCGAUAGAGACUAAUUUCCUUGGAUGAUUCUGAUUGGAAGAUUCUUCUUAUUCUUUUCUCUGCAGUAGAAUGGAUGAUAUGUAAAAAGAAAGAAAGAAAAGGAUGGAGUUUAAACCAUCAUAUAGUGGUAAAGGAGGAGGGGAGCAUCUUGUGGUUGAAGAUGGCUCCCUUGAUAAGGUGCCCAGUGNNNNNNNNNNNNNNNNNNNNUAAAGUAAAAGAAAGAAGAAAAGGAUGGAGUUUAACCAUCAUAGUAGUAGGUAAAGGAGGAGGGGAGCAUCUUGUGGUUGAAGAUGGCUCCCUUGAUAAGGUGCCCAGUGGAAGAUGGAGGG